This 393-nucleotide ribosomal RNA is filed under the name uncultured bacterium. RNAcentral's name for it is "partial 16S ribosomal RNA". It matches the Rfam family "Bacterial small subunit ribosomal RNA", at positions 523 to 918 of the family's 1533-position model. The record is from RNAcentral.
AUACGGAGGAUCCGAGCGUUAUCCGGAUUUAUUGGGUUUAAAGGGAGCGUAGGUGGACAGUUAAGUCAGUUGUGAAAGUUUGCGGCUCAACCGUAAAAUUGCAGUUGAUACUGGUUUCCUUGAGUACGGUACAGGUGGGCGGAAUUCGUGGUGUAGCGGUGAAAUGCUUAGAUAUCACGAAGAACUCCGAUUGCGAAGGCAGCUCACUGGACUGCAACUGACACUGAUGCUCGAAAGUGUGGGUAUCAAACAGGAUUAGAUACCCUGGUAGUCCACACAGUAAACGAUGAAUACUCGCUGUUUGCGAUAUACAGUAAGCGGCCAAGCGAAAGCAUUAAGUAUUCCACCUGGGGAGUACGCCGGCAACGGUGAAACUCAAAGGAAUUGGCGGGG